GCCCGCAUGGCUCAGUGGUAGAGCGCAUCACUAGUAUCUACAGAUGAAGAUAUGAUGAGGUCGUCAGUUCGAUUCUGGCUGUGGGCA
Non-coding RNA from Copromyces sp. CBS 386.78, 87 nucleotides. NCBI's taxonomy places the organism in Eukaryota, Fungi, Ascomycota, Sordariomycetes, Sordariales, Sordariaceae. The record is from the annotation of a GenBank genome assembly.